CUCAACGCUCCUCUGGUGACCUCUCUUGCUGAUCGGUGGAGGCCAGAGAUGCACAGUUUCCAUCUUCGGACUGGGGAGAUGACCGUGACGCUCGAGGAUGUCGCCUUGAUCACCGGGCUUCCUAUCGAUAGGAGGCCUCUAUGUAUGAGCACCGAUUCUGAUGGGUGGCGCGAGCAGAUGAUUGCUCUUAUUGGUAUGGCUCCUACCGAGGCUGAGGCUGAUGUAGAGAAGGGAGAAGAGCAGAAGGAGGAGGAAAGGAAAGCAGCUGGAGCUGCUUUCACGUGGAUUCAAGCAAACUUUGCGCAUUGCCCUGUGGAUGCCACUGAUGAUGUGAUACAGACACAUGCUCAUGUCUAUAUGUGGUACGUUGUCUUGAGGACUUUGUUUCCUGACUCGACAAGCAAGAACGCUCCAUGGAUGUGGCUGAAGGCGUUUACCAUCUUCAUAGCGGAUGGAGCUGGGGUCUAG
RNAcentral lists this ribosomal RNA (468 nucleotides) under Triticum aestivum (bread wheat). Its description in RNAcentral is "partial small subunit ribosomal RNA". The record is from RNAcentral. Lineage: Eukaryota; Viridiplantae; Streptophyta; Magnoliopsida; Poales; Poaceae.